AAAAAAAAAAAAGGAAAACACACGGACUAAGGAAAAAUUGAGAGAGAAACAAGAGAACUGAAAGAAGUGUGAAAAGAGAACAAGGAAAAGGCUUGGAAGAAGCAAGAAGGUUGGAAGAAAAUCUAGAGAAAACGUAAGGAAAAAAAAACAGUACAAAGUUCGAAAAAGAUAGAGCAUACGGAUAGACAACGAUUUAGAGUUUGAAGUUUGGUCUGUAAUUGUGAGUUUGUGGCUUCUUCUUUCUUUUGUGGAGGAUUAUUUUCACAAGUGUGGUAACAUUUAAAUCAUUUGAUGUAGUUUAGAUGAUAUAUUAUGGAAACGAGAUUUUGUU
Molecule: long non-coding RNA, 331 nt
Filed under: Capsicum annuum
Lineage: Eukaryota; Viridiplantae; Streptophyta; Magnoliopsida; Solanales; Solanaceae
Description: long non-coding RNA (CANN_LNC012904)
Source: RNAcentral